GGGGGGCCGGGGUUGUCCGUAGGGCAUCAUCCCCUGGGGGGUCUGGGGGGGGUACAGCAGCCCCGGGGCCAGACCCUGCGCGGGUCCCGGCGGGGGUCCCCCCUUCCCCUCGGGCAGCGCGGGGCGUUUGGGGUCCUGCAGGAAGUUGUUGAAGAACAGCACCUCUUUGCGCACCUCGGCGAUCUUCUCGCUGUGCUUAUUGAAGAUGUGCUUCCGCACGAACUCGGGGCCCUUGAACUUCUUCCCGCUGAGGGGGCACAGCCACUUGUCCUUGCCCAGCUCCUGUGUGUUGGCGGUGACGAACUUCUCCACCUCCUGCUCGGGGUCUUUCCUUCCCAGGCGCAGCGCCUCCUCCUCGGGCAGCGCCUCCCGCCCCGCCAGCAGCGGCCCCAAACGCUCCUCAAAGCCCUUCUGCCAUUCGGCCAC
RNAcentral lists this long non-coding RNA (426 nucleotides) under Gallus gallus (chicken). Lineage: Eukaryota; Metazoa; Chordata; Aves; Galliformes; Phasianidae. The record is from RNAcentral.